This 376-nucleotide unclassified non-coding RNA is filed under the name soil metagenome. RNAcentral describes it as "partial contains 5.8S ribosomal RNA, internal transcribed spacer 2, and large subunit ribosomal RNA". The stretch from base 1 to 120 matches the Rfam family "5.8S ribosomal RNA", at positions 35 to 154 of the family's 154-position model. The record is from RNAcentral.
GAUGAAGAACGUAGCGAAAUGCGAUAAGUAAUGUGAAUUGCAGAAUUCAGUGAAUCAUCGAAUCUUUGAACGCAUCUUGCGCUCCUUGGUAUUCCGAGGAGCAUGCCUGUUUGAGUGUCAUUAAAUUCUCAACUACACUGACUUUGAAUUGGUGUGGCUUGGAUUUGGGGGGAAAAUUGUUGUGGGCUUUUUGUAUAGUCUGCUCCCCUGAAAUUGAUUAGCGGUACCUUUGUGGAACUGUCUACAGGUGUGAUAAUUAUCUACAUCUUAGACAUCUGCUGGAAUGCUGCUUUCUAAACCUUACUUGUAUUGACAAUCUUGACCUCAAAUCAGGUAGGACUACCCGCUGAACUUAAGCAUAUCAAUAAGCGGAGGA